AAAGACUUAGUCCUAACCUUACCGUUGAUUGUUGCUAGAUAUAUACAUGCAAGUAUCUGCGCUCCAGUGUAAAUGCCCUCCACCUACGACAUCGAGACAGAGGAGCGGACAUCAGGCACACCUACUAACGGUAGCCCAAAACGUCUUGCUCAGCCACACCCCCACGGGUACUCAGCAGUAAUUAACAUUAAGCAAUAAGUGAAAACUUGACUUAGUCAUAGCAAUUCCAAGGGUUGGUAAAUCUUGUGCCAGCCACCGCGGUCACACAAGAGACCCAAAUUAACUGUAACACGGCGUAAAGAGUGGCUCAAUGCUAUCCUACCAACUAAGAUCAAAAUGCAACUGAGCUGUCAUAAGCCCAAGCUGCACAUAAAAUCACUCUGAAAAUAAUCUUAGCGACCCCCGACCGAUAAUACCCACGAAAGCUAAGACACAAACUGGGAUUAAGAUACCCCACUAUGCUUAGCCCUAAAUCUUGAUGCUUAUACAACUAAAGUAUCCGCCCGAGAACUACGAGCACAAACGCUUAAAACUCUAAGGACUUGGCGGUACCCCAAACCCACCUAGAGGAGCCUGUUCUGUAAUCGAUAACCCACGAUACACCCAACCGCUCCUUGCUAAAACAGCCUACAUACCGCCGUCGUCAGCUUACCUCCUCUGAGAGUGCAACAGUAAGCAUAACAGCCUCAACCACGCUAGCAAGACAGGUCAAGGUAUAGCCCAUGGAGCGGAAGAAAUGGGCUACAUUUUCUAAAUUAGAAAACUACGGAAAGGGGUGUGAAACCACCCCUAGAAGGCGGAUUUAGUAGUAAAGUGGGACAAUAAAGCCCACUUUAAACCGGCCCUGGGGUACGUACAUACCGCCCGUCACCCUCUUCACAAGCUACCAAAUUCCAUAACUAAUACUGCACCAAGCUGAAGACGAGGUAAGUCGUAACAAGGUAAGUGUACCGGAAGGUGCACUUAGCACAC
RNAcentral lists this ribosomal RNA (972 nucleotides) under Ixobrychus flavicollis (black bittern). RNAcentral describes it as "Dupetor flavicollis (black bittern) 12S ribosomal RNA". It matches the Rfam family "Bacterial small subunit ribosomal RNA". The record is from RNAcentral. Lineage: Eukaryota; Metazoa; Chordata; Aves; Pelecaniformes; Ardeidae.